Molecule: long non-coding RNA, 408 nt
Organism: Vigna unguiculata (cowpea)
Lineage: Eukaryota; Viridiplantae; Streptophyta; Magnoliopsida; Fabales; Fabaceae
Source: RefSeq, a predicted model, not a curated record
UUUACCAUCAAUACAUCCUUAUCCCUUUGUCCAAGAUUUUUCCUAUAAAUAGGACUUCACUUUACACAUCUUCUUCACAAAAUCCAAAACAAUAGAGAAGGAAAGGUAUAAACUCUUGUGAAAAAAAUUGAAGUUGGAAAGGGAAAUCCAGAAUCUUGAGGUCUUCAUUUUCAUCUUAGAGUAUAUUUAGCAUCUUCAAGAGGAAGAAAUUGCAGACCUAGAAUGUAACAAUGAGAUUGUCUAGUUUAACUUUUCAUGCAAAUUUGGAUUAUGUUAAAGCUACAACUGAUAUGGUGUAACUUGUUUGUGAUGUAUUCCAAACUAAAAGUACCUUUAGUUGGUUGUAAAAGUAUAAACAAACUUCUGUUACAAACACUUAUAUGUAUGUUAACAUUUUAUUCGCAUAAA